Molecule: ribosomal RNA, 876 nt
Filed under: Triticum aestivum (bread wheat)
Lineage: Eukaryota; Viridiplantae; Streptophyta; Magnoliopsida; Poales; Poaceae
Description: partial small subunit ribosomal RNA
Source: RNAcentral
AUGCGAGGCAAAAAGGAAGUCAUGUAUAGUGAAAAGGAAGGUCAUCACCAAAGAACAGAAACCAGUAGAGCAAAGAUUAUUGGCUCUGAAUUCGAGGGGUCUAAAUACAAUUGCAACGUUGAUGAAGAUCGUAAAGACAAAGAAGUGAAACAAAUAAGAAAAACAGGCAGGCUGCAUGAAGUUCUUUGCAAUGUUUUUGGUGAUAGUGAUGAGAAUGACCACGCCUUGUAUGGUGAUACUGAGGAUGUCAAUAGACCGCCUACCGAGGGAGAAGGCCAGUGUGCGAAUAUUUUACAACCAAAGGAUGUAACUCGUGGCAAAGAUACGUGCUAUGAAGAGUCCAAACAUUGUUUAACUGGUCCUCCGCUGAACUUGGUGGUUCCACAUAUACCACCACACGGUCAACCUGAUCAGUUAAAAGUAAUCAAGGUGUCAAAUGUCGUGGGGAUUAAUCCAAAACCUUUCGAUCCUGAAACGUACAUGGAAGAGGAUGACUUCAUUACCGAUGAAUCUAAGGGCAAGGAAAGUGUGCAUAUGGAUGUUGUCCGUUGCAGAAGGGCCAAGAAUGCUGAUGGCACUGAAUCUCUUGAAAGCAAUGCACGUUUUGUCCAGUGGAAAGAUGGAAGCAUGCAACUACUGAUUGGUCAUGUGGCUCUUGAUGUAUCUGUAGAAGAGUCAAGUCAGCAUACCCACUUGUUUAGGAAGAAUGGAAAGGGGCUUCUACAGUCACAAGGAAGGCUUUUACAGAAGAUGAGAAUUAUGCCGCCCGAGUCAUCUUCAAGAUCUCAUAGCUCAUUAACAGCUCCUAUUGAUUCUCAGAAUGAGAAAACAAUUAAGGUGCAAACAUGGUAUGAUAAAAAUAUCCCGAGAGAAUGA